Pogoniulus pusillus (Red-fronted tinkerbird) is the source of this 2905-nucleotide long non-coding RNA. RefSeq lists it as uncharacterized. NCBI's taxonomy places the organism in Eukaryota, Metazoa, Chordata, Aves, Piciformes, Lybiidae. The transcript has 7 exons. The record is from RefSeq and is a predicted model, not a curated record.
GAGCCCAGGGAGGAGGGAGCAGCUGGUGAGGCUGAAGGGCCACAGGAGCCUCCUGAGACUUUCCAACUGAGCUGCUGUCCCGUGAGGUCAAACUUGGAGCGUGGCUGAUAGGUCCAGUCCUGGGUGUCUGCCUGCCCCUGCCCAGGAGCUCCAGGGAGGAGAGCAAAGGGCCGCGGGGGUAGCCCCAGGGCACUGCGAGUCUGGCACAGCAGAGUCUUCUGGCUGUCCCCUCCACGAUCUGGUGACAACUGGUCCAGCUGGCUCAGGGACCCGGACCUUCAUCCAGCCACGGAUGGAGCCUGUCUCCUCGCCACGGUGGAAGAGGAAGGUCUCAAACUGCUGGGCCAUGCUGCCAAUCAUGGACCUCAUUGCGAUGCAGCACUCACCUGCAGGCUGUCACCUAAGCCCUGUGGGGGCAAUGCUUGGCAGCCCCCCAUGCCACAGCAGUGGCCCCCACAUCACCAUCCUGCACACACCAUAGGACUCGCAGCUGUCCACUCCCUUGAUGCUGAGGAGCAGGUGCUGGUCUCCCAGGUUCAGCUGGUCCACAGCCAGGAGGGCUUCAAACUCCUUCUUGGUGAUAUGAGCAAGGAUGUCCUGUGCCAGGAGAGGAAGGCACGGAGAGCCCUGGCUCCUCGUCCCCCUGCAGCUACACCAGCGUUGCCACCAGCGUGCCACCAUCCCCGGCCACAGUGCCCACGGGGUCCUACCUGCACGUCCAUCUCCAGGCGGUAGUUGAGGUCCCCGAACCAGAAGAGGCAGGAAGCCCAGCCAGUGCCCCUUACCCGUGCACUGGUGAAGACGAAGUCUCUGCUCAGGCUCUUCUGCAGCUCCCGGUUGUACACCAGCCUCACCUUGCUUUGCAUGCUCUGGUAUUUGAUCAGCUGCAGGACUGAACACGGGGUAAGAAGGGGGCAUCAGUGGCAUCCCCGUCCUGCCACGGGGGCCAGCAGAGAUGGGGGGUGGGGGUGCAACCAGGUCUGCAACCCAUCAGGCUUGUGCCAGGGAACCCCACAGACAGUGAAGGGGGUCAGCAGCCUCUUACUUCUGUCCUGUGGGAUGGUCUCCUCCGGGGACCCGCCACCCCUCUUGCUGAUGGCCACCGUGCCUGCCUCCACAUCCACCGUCAGGGCUGCCCGCUGCGACUUGCCCAUCUUCACCUGCAGACAGAGACGUGGGCCCCAGGUUGUGCCCUGCCUGCCCUGCCCAAGCCGUGAUGCCAGGGUCCUCUUGUGCCUCCUGUCCUCACCUCAAAGCUCUGCUUAGCCAAGGGCUUGGCAGCAGGUGGAGGGGCUGCUGCCACACUGGGCAGUACCAAGUUGUGCCUCGAUACAGUUUCCUGCAGUGACUUCAGCACCUGCCAGAGACAUGGGCACUGGUCUUGGAGCACUGGGAUAAGAGGGAACUCUGGGAACCUUGAGCCACCACCAGCACCUUGCUUUUCUGAAGGGUUUAAUCUAAGUGAAGGGUUUGCUGGAGCAGAGUAAGGUUCCCCAGCCCAGGGUGCCAGCAGAGCUUGGCAGCAGCUGUGGUUAGCAGUGGCCAUGCCUCCCCCUGCAGCCAGCUGCUUCCCUGGCCUGGCAUCAGUGUGGGGUCAGACACCUUUUUCUCCAGAGAAGAGAGGAGAUGGUUGACAGCAGAUAUCUUGUUGAGGAGCAGCUCCAGGUCUGGAUCGCUGGUUAGGAGACCCUGAGGGUAAGGACAGAUGUUUUGGGAGCAGCAUGCUAGCACCACACUGGUGGGCCAGUGGCUCUGGCUCCCCAAGCCACAGGGAGCCAAGUCCCCUCUGCCAGCUGCAGAGACUCCAGCACAGGCAGUACCCAGGGACUACCAGCAGCACCUUUAGGUGCCAACAAGUACAGAAACUGCCCUGACCACCUUCCCCCCGAGACCAGUUGCACCCAAUGAUGAUGUGGCACCCAAAAGCAGCUGGGGGCUGUGGUGAUCCUGUGGGGCUCACCUGCUCCCUGACUGGGCUACGAGGGGACACAGGAGGGUCAAACACCCUGGCCAGAGUCUCUAGACCCACCAGCGUAAAGUCGAUCUCACUGCAGAGAAUAGGAGGACUGGGUGAGACCUGGCAUCUCCUGAGCUUUGGUGGGUGAUGCUCAGCCACCACGAAGGGGAGGGGGACAAGGUGGGCGGCUCAGGGGCUGUUCCCCUUCCAGCCCCACCGCUCCUGGGCCACUCGCCUGUGCAGUGCCCGGCAAGCAGUGACGAGUGCGGUGCUGAGGUGCCGCAGCUGCGGGUGCCCGUGGCGAAGCGCCUCCAGGUCCAACUGCAGGUGGUGGUUCAGGUACUCGGCCAUGAAGCCCAUGAAGUCACUGGCUGGGCUGCAAGUGGGGUGAGCCUCUUUGGAAAGAUCCCCAGCCAUGCCCACCCCAUCACCUCCAUCAACCUGAGGCGUGUUACCUGCUGCGGACCUGCUCCUGCAGCCUCUGGUGCAGCUGCUGCGAGAUGUGGGUCCGGCUGGCCACGGGAGCACUGAGCCAUGUGCCCGUGCUGCCUGCACCAGCCAGGGCUGUGCUUGCCACAUGCCCACCACCUCGGCCGUCCUCCCCAUCUGCGGGCAGAAGAUCAUCAGGUCAGUGUGAUCCCCCUCCCCGCUCCCAGCCCGGCUCAGCCCCCGGCAUGGCCCCCAGCUCACCUGAGUCCUCAUCGGCCGCUUGCCUUGCCCGGUGCACUGGGUAGAGCAGAGGUGUCACCAGCCCGUUGUUGGGCUGCUGGUAGGCACCAAUCAGGUCAGGUAGAGUUCGGAAGCACUUGGCCUGGAUGCCCUGAAUGGUCUGGAGAGGCAGAGAAGUGGAAGCAUCAUCACAUCCCCAUCUCUGCCAGCUUUGUGUGCCCUGGCAGUGAACCAGCUUGCCGUGUCGAGUGGGUCUGUCCCCCGAAAUGUGCUCAUGGC